Molecule: ribosomal RNA, 301 nt
Filed under: uncultured bacterium
Lineage: Bacteria
Description: partial 16S ribosomal RNA
Rfam family: Bacterial small subunit ribosomal RNA
Source: RNAcentral
CAGUAGCCGCGGUAAUACAGAGGCCUCAAGCGUUGUUCGGAUUCAUUGGGCGUAAAGGGUGCGUAGGUGGCUUGGUAAGUUGAAGGUGAAAUCUCGGGGCUUAACCCCGAAACUGCCUUCAAUACUGCUAGGCUCGAGGACUGUAGAGGAGAAUGGAAUUCACGGUGUAGCAGUGAAAUGCGUAGAUAUCGUGAGGAAGACCAGUGGCGAAGGCGAUUCUCUGGGCAGUUCCUGACACUGAGGCACGAAGGCCAGGGGAGCAAACGGGAUUAGAUACCCCGGUAGUCCCUGUCUCUUAUAA